GCACUCGGUAGAGCCGGCACCCUCCAGCGACCCCCUCUUAGAUUCUUAUUCUGGCUUCAGAAUGGCUUGGGAGUGGUAGGCUUCACCCUCCACGCUUUAGCAGCCAUGAAGUUGAAAGAGAAAAAAUCAAGGCCGAAACCAACAAACUGUGGCAGAUUUCAGAAGAAGGGAAUCAAGGUUGUGGGGAAAUGGAAGGAGGUGAAGAUAGACCCAAAUAUGUUUGCAGAUGGACAGAUGGAUGACUUGGUGUGCUUUGAGGAACUGACAGAUUAUCAGUUGGUCUCCCCUGCCAAAAGUUCCUCCAGUCUUUUCUCAAAGGAAGAGCCCAAGAAGAGAAAGGCUCAGGCUGUUGCAGAAGGAGAGGAGGAAGGAGAGCCUGGCUCCUCAAAGAAAAAGAUGAAGUUGAAGAAGAGUAAAGAUGUGGAAACUGAAGGAACUAGUUCCCAGAAAGUGUUUGAGGUCAAAGAUACUGAGCCAGCGCCCCAGGGAGAGGGCACAGUUUGUCCUGAUCCAGGGGUAGGGGAGAUGGCAUCAGAAAGCCCGGCCCAGACUGUACCGAAAAAGAAGAAAAAGAAAGGGAAAAAAAAAUCAGAGCCUUCCCAGGGUACUUCUCCAAAGAUGCCCAAAAAAGCAAAAACAUGGAUGCCUGAAACGCAUGAUCACAAAGCAGAUGUGUCAGCUUGGAAGGAUCUGUUUGUACCCAAGCCGGUUCUCCGAGCACUCAGCUUUCUAGGCUUCUCUGCCCCCACACCAAUCCAAGCGCUGACCUUGGCACCUGCCAUUCGUGACAAACUGGACAUCCUUGGGGCCGCUGAGACAGGAAGUGGGAAAACUCUUGCCUUUGCCAUUCCAAUGAUUGACGCGGUGCUGCGGUGGCAGGUGAAGAAGAAGCCUACCCCAGCUCUAAGUAACACAGGAGCUCCACCUGGGCAGACCGGCAAUGAGGCUGGAGCUGCGUCUGGAGCUUUGCCUGAUGAGAUUGGAAGUGAGGGUGAAGCACUUUCCAGUGAGGUUGGAGCGAAGACUGGAACACCACCCAGCCAGGCAGGAACCAGUACUGGAGCUGCCUGCUCAGACCAGGGGCUGCCGUCCUGUGAUGGUGAUGUUGACGCCGGCGAAGGACCCUCUUCCCUGAUGAGGGAGAAGCCCAUCCCCAACCAGGAAGGAGACCAGGUGGAAAAGCAUGAUGGAGAGCAGACCGGAAAGGGGAAGCGAGGGUUGGGGGGCAGCGCUGCGCCGCCGCGGCGUCCUCUGCUCGGACUGGUUCUGACUCCCACUCGAGAGCUCGCUGUGCAGGUCAAGCAGCACGUCGAUGCUGUGGCCAAGUUUACAGGCAUUAAAACCGCUAUUCUGGUUGGUGGAAUGUCCACGCAGAAACAGCAGAGGAUGCUGAACCGCCAGCCGGAGAUUGUGAUCGCCACUCCAGGCCGGCUGUGGGAGCUAGUUAAAGAAAAGCACCCUCAUUUGAGCAACCUUCGGCAGCUCAGGUGCCUGGUGAUCGAUGAGGCUGACCGGAUGGUUGAGAAAGGCCACUUUGCUGAGCUCUCACAGCUGCUAGAGAUGCUCAGUGAUUCCCAGUACAACCCAAAGAGACAGACCCUUGUUUUUUCCGCCACACUGACCCUGGUACAUCAAGCUCCUGCCCGCAUCCUUCACAAGAAGCACGCCAAGAAAAUCGACAAAACUGCCAAACUUGACCUCCUCAUGCAGAAGAUCGGCAUGAGGGGCAAGCCCAAGGUCAUUGACCUCACAAGAAAGGAGGCUACGGUAGAGACGCUGACAGAGACCAAGAUCCAUUGUGAGACUGAUGAGAAAGACUUGUAUCUGUACUACUUCCUGAUGCAGUAUCCAGGCCGCACCUUAGUGUUUGCCAACAGUAUCUCCUGCAUCAAGCGCCUCUCCGGGCUCCUCAAAGUCCUGGAUAUCAUGCCACUGACCCUGCAUGCCUGCAUGCACCAGAAGCAGAGGCUUAGAAACCUGGAGCAGUUUGCCCAUCUGGAGGAUUGUGUGCUCCUGGCAACAGACGUGGCAGCUCGGGGCCUGGAUAUUCCAAAAGUCCAGCAUGUCAUCCAUUACCAGGUCCCUCGCACGUCGGAGAUUUAUGUCCACCGAAGUGGUCGGACUGCCCGUGCCACCAAUGAAGGCCUCAGCCUGAUGUUGGUUGGGCCUGAGGAUGUGAUCAACUUUAAGAAGAUUUACAAAACCCUCAAGAAAGAUGAGGACAUCCCACUGUUCCCUGUGCAGACAAAGUACAUGGAUGCGGUCAAGGAGCGAAUCCGUUUAGCUCGACAGAUUGAAAAAGCAGAGUAUCGGAACUUCCAGGCUUGUCUGCACAACUCUUGGAUAGAGCAGGCCGCGGCUGCCCUUGAGAUUGAGCUGGAAGAAGAAAUGUAUAAGGGAGGAAAAGUUGACGAGCAGGAAGAGCGUCGGAGACAAAAGCAGAUGAAGAUCCUGAAGAAGGAGCUGCGCCAUUUACUUUCACAGCCACUGUUUAAAGAUGACCUGAAAACCAAGUAUCCAACUCAGUCGGGCAAGCUACCCGUGCUCAUGUCUGCCCCAAGAAAGGGUGAGUCCGCGCUGAGCUGCCUUUCCAAACAGAAGAAGAAACAGCAGCAGCCCAAGAAGCAGCCGCAGGAGCAGCCUCGGCCGAGCACAAGUGCAGGUUGACCGCCCCGGGCCAGAGUCAGCUGCGACCGCACCGUGGCUGUGUUCUCCGGCUAUAUGGAAACCUUCCCACCUUGGAUCUCACCCCACUGUCAGCUCUGCUUCCAGAAAUCUCCCUCUCUUCCACACCACCCCUCACAGCAGGACAGACCUCAUACAGAUUCAUGUUGUUUCAGAAACCAACGCGUCACCUUGAGUUUCUGCCAGAGUCGGGGGACCCCGUCCAGUCCUUGGGCUGCAGCCUGCACAGUGUGGAUGGAGCAGAGGCGCCCUUGUGCUUAGAUCCGGGCCUGGUGUAAAUAGGAGCUGAGGGAACAUGUGACCUCCUGGCACCACCGCAGCUUCGCCGUCAGUCUGGGCAGAUCCUUCGCCACUGAACCACCAGGAAUCCCCUGCUUUAAAGGAUGUCUUCCCAGCAUCCCCAGUGACGUGGAGGAGAAUGUGAAGUCAGCUUCUGAGUGACAGCUGUCAGAGGACGGCAGGGGCUCUCCCAUCUUCCAGAUGCCAGCAGUGGACGCACAAGCAGACUCAAGGUCCCGCAGCAGCUCCUGGGCCUUGGGAGGCCUAAGGACACUCGUCACAGGCCAAGGAGACCCACUGAUGUCCUUUGACAUCCUGUCCUUGCCCCCUAGCAGAUUCUUUUGUGGUGGGGUAACAUGGUAAAGAGCUGGGUUUUAAAAGAUAGGGCCGGCCUCCAAGGCAGUUUUGCUCUUUGACCCAAUGAGGUGAAGCUCUGGCGAGGCCUGUGGUUCCUUUGGCACUUGCAGCCCAGCCCAAGGACAGAAUUUCCUGAGCGGCUGGACCUUUCACUCAACGAAGACACUCCUGCCCCUGCUGAUCCACUCACACAGACAAGCCCCAUGGGACGGCAGUGUUGAUCUUUGGUGCGGGCCAGGUACCGACUAUUAAGAAGCCAGGACCAAAAGUUGUUAUGGAAACCAUUUUAAUACUAGAAAAGUUUUUAACCAAUUGCCCGAGGAAGCCGUAGGGCCUGGCCUAGCUCCCACAGAACCAGGGGCCCCUGGGGACCCACUCACGGAGCCACAGCCCGUGCCCCUGCCUCUGCUCAGCAUGGCAGUGUGUUUGGUCCUUCAACUUCUUCCCUCUGCCCAGGAAACUACAGAACCACCACCAAGGUGGCUUU
Budorcas taxicolor (takin) is the source of this 3808-nucleotide RNA transcript. It is a transcript of the gene named DEAD-box helicase 24, with no coding region annotated. NCBI's taxonomy places the organism in Eukaryota, Metazoa, Chordata, Mammalia, Artiodactyla, Bovidae. The record is from RefSeq and is a predicted model, not a curated record. The transcript has 12 exons.